GGGAACCUUACCAGGGCCAGACAUAGGAAGGAUUGACAGGAUGCUAGUUCUUUCUUGAUUCUAUGGGUGGUGGUGCAUGGCCGUUUCUAGUUGGUGGAGUGAUUUGUCUGGUUGAUUCCGUUAACGAACGAGACCUUUUCUUCCAAAUUGCUGUUGCGCUAUUUUUAUAGUGCGCAGUAACUAGGAGUACAACAUGUGGAAAGCAUGGGGAAGAGAAAGGCGAAAA
Molecule: ribosomal RNA, 226 nt
Filed under: uncultured eukaryote
Lineage: Eukaryota
Description: partial 18S ribosomal RNA
Rfam family: Eukaryotic small subunit ribosomal RNA
Source: RNAcentral